RNAcentral lists this transfer-messenger RNA (370 nucleotides) under Bacteroidia bacterium. It matches the Rfam family "transfer-messenger RNA". Rfam says of the family: Bacterial tmRNA, also known as 10Sa RNA or SsrA, is named for its dual tRNA and mRNA-like properties. Its role is to liberate the mRNA from a stalled ribosome. Lineage: Bacteria; Pseudomonadati; Bacteroidota; Bacteroidia. The record is from RNAcentral.
GGGGCUGACAGGAAUUGACAGCAGGUGUAAUUGUUAUGUAAGCAUGCCGGGCGUUGUUUGCUUGCCCGUUAAUCUCAACAUUCACAGCCUUAACUGGCGACUAUAAUUACGCAUUGGCUGCUUAAUCUUUGAUUAACCAGACCAAUUACUUCCGUGUGACUUCUCACACCGGUCACCGAAUGGGAGUAUCGUAAGAUGUGAUAGUUUUUGCCAUCAGCGGUGGCAUCAGCGAAACACAAAUCCCGCUGCUAAGGAUGUUGCUUCGCUUGUGUUUAGCCGGCUUCAUCCCGACAAUCGAAAAACAAUAAGCAUGUAGAAAGCGUAGUGAUUGCUUGUCUGGACGAGGGUUCAACUCCCUCCAGCUCCACAA